Molecule: long non-coding RNA, 2156 nt
Filed under: Amborella trichopoda
Lineage: Eukaryota; Viridiplantae; Streptophyta; Magnoliopsida; Amborellales; Amborellaceae
Description: long non-coding RNA (ATRI_LNC002041)
Source: RNAcentral
GAGACUUGCCCUGAGACCCUAAGUAGCCACAAGGGAAUCGAGAACCGGAAGUGAGCUUGUGUUCACAUCUCGUUUUCCAAUCUUGCAAAUUCAGUCACAGAGAAAGGACAGCUAACGGUAGCUAGACCAGAGCUCUUAAGGUCAACCCUUACACAACAGCCGAUACGAUGAGUUAAGCUAAAACAUAGGAAAUGCCACCAAUAGGGAUCCGCUCGGGAAGAGGAAGGAAUUCCAGUAAAGAGGUUCUUUAUAUAUAACCUAGCCUAGCUCAACGCUACGGAAAGGUCAUAUAUGACUCAACGAAAAGGCAAGUCCUUCGGUUCGAGUGAUGGUUCACCAGUAAGAGAUCAACGAAAAGCAAAGAUCUCUCGGGCAAGUGCUCUAGACGGAUUCCCUGGAAGAACAGCAGGAUUCGGGGUCAGCUUUCUCAUCAUAAAGAAGCGAAAAUGAAGAGGAUGGUUGUAGCUCCGGUGCUAUCCCGUAAUCCUUCCAAUCAUUGAAAAAGCCUGAUUUUAGGGGGACCUGCCUUCCAAGACUGAACUAGCGAGCAAGAAUUACGAAAGUAAGGUCAGUGACAGAUCUCCGAAGAAGAUCUUGUUUCGGUCUAUAUGGGAUUGGGCUGCUUGGGGCGCUGCUUACCCUUUUCUUCGAAACCUCUCCUCCCUUUCUCAGGAAGUUAUUUGAUUGAGGACAAAAUCUCGCUAGAAGUAUCGUAAUGAACGAGAUGGGCUAGACCCGUGCUAAACCCAUGUAUCCCGACCUACGACCACCAACUAAGGUUGUAUACAAAUAUGAUAAUAGCUCUUGGAAAUAGGCGCUUUUAAGCAGUUCAUUCGCUAAGAAGCAGUGGAAUUGCUUUAAACAAGCACAUUGGACAUUGUCAAAAGAAAAGAAACUAAUAGGAUAACUUUUCUUUUUAUACGAUAUUUCAUAAAAUAAUAAAGAUUGGAACUAGGUCAUAGGAGGUCACUACAGCUAGGGCGGGUUAGAUCACAUGUUGCUCUUGGUUGCGAAUUCAUCUUUCAAGGUUAGACUUGAGAGUCUUACGCAUAGAUUCCACAUUCUCUACGAUAAUCAAAAUUCUUCUUACGAAGCGAGGUCAGGCACUGAAUGAACAGAGGAACUGCGGCCCAUAGACUUACCAACCGACAGACGUGGAAAGACGUAAAACGGGGCAUGGAUGAAAGGGUUCCCUUGGUAGGGGCAUGAAGGACAUAGCAGGUUUGGAAAAAAAAGAUAGAUUUGGAAGGCAGACCUUGUUCAUAUAUGACUUUUAGCUUUUCGAAACUCGUUAGAAAUCAGGUUAUGAAAGAAAGCCAGUAGCACGGCAUCCGUUUGAGCAGUAGAAACUUCUCAGGGAAUUGUCCCAACCCGCCCAUGCUGAAUAGUUGACCUAUAGAGUCAGAAAGAUCGGAAAAAGCAAGCAAUAGGUUAUGAAAGAAAGGGAUGGAGGGGAAAGAAAGGUUAUGAAAUAAAAGAAAGCCUUGGGCCAGUUGUCUUUAAUAUGACUAUUGUGCUAAGGCAUCGGUUUUAGGAUACAUUCAUAUAUGACCUAUCAAAUGAUAAGUGCGAAGCGCUAGUGUUUAGCUAGUCUGCCUUCUCCGAAAAAGAAUACGCUGAUUUAGCCAAUCCGGUGUUUUAUAAUCCGCUGUUGAGGCUAUCUUCGUUAACUACAGGACUCAAACCUCGAAAGAGAAGGUUGCUUGCAAAUGACCUAAGGUGCUCAUUGUCAUUCUAUUCCCUUCGACAUGGNNNNNNNNNNNNNNNNNNNNACCAGAAUCCGUAGUGGGGACAAAGACGGUGAUAGAAUCCGCCUUACCUAAUGCCUUUCCUUGGGCAAACAAUAGGUUGUGCAAGACAAGAAAUAGAAUGCAAACUGUAGCUAGUGGGAUAGAUUCAGUAUUCAUCUUUCUCUAGACUAGCAAUUCCGCAUUGCCCUUUCGUGUCGUGCUAGCCCUUGGAAGGCCCUCGUACUAUAAUGCCAUUGCCGCUUUGCUGGAUGAGAGAAAGAACCAUAAGCAUUAGAUAGAGUAGCGGGAAGGGAGGACUUUAUACCCGGCAAUCUCCAUUGGCUUGGUUUCAGUGAGUUCAAGAGAUGAGGCACGGAGUGAGUUCAAUUCCCUUUCCAAACCUUAACUCAACGGGGCACUCAUCUU